ACUCCUACGGGAGGCAGCAGUGGGGAAUAUUGCACAAUGGGGGAAAGCCCAUGAUGCAGCCAUGCCGCGUGUGUGAGGAAGGCCAUUCGGGGCUUUGGUUAAAGACACUUUUCAGUAGGGAGAAGGUAGUGUAGUUAACACCUGCAUUAUUUGACGUUACCUACAGAAGAAGCACCGGCUAACUCCGUGCCAGCAGCCGCGGUAAUACGGAGGGUGCGAGCGUUAAUCGGAAUUACUGGGCGUAAAGCGCAUGCAGGCGGCCUGUUAAGUCAGAUGUGAAAGCCCGGGGCUUAACCUCGGAAUUGCAUUUGAAACUGGCAGGCUAGAGUCUUGUAGAGGGGGUG
Molecule: ribosomal RNA, 344 nt
Filed under: uncultured bacterium
Lineage: Bacteria
Description: bacterial SSU rRNA
Rfam family: Bacterial small subunit ribosomal RNA
Source: RNAcentral